RNAcentral lists this transfer RNA (64 nucleotides) under Brachylophus fasciatus (banded iguana). Its description in RNAcentral is "tRNA-Cys". Lineage: Eukaryota; Metazoa; Chordata; Lepidosauria; Squamata; Iguanidae. The record is from RNAcentral.
AAGCCCCGGGGCCCCUUGGGGCCCUUCUUCAAAUUUGCAUUUUGACGUGUCACACCCCAGGGCU